This 163-nucleotide non-coding RNA is filed under the name Bariatricus massiliensis. RNAcentral describes it as "Lysine riboswitch". It matches the Rfam family "Lysine riboswitch aptamer". From Rfam's summary of the family: Riboswitches are metabolite binding domains within certain messenger RNAs that serve as precision sensors for their corresponding targets. Allosteric rearrangement of mRNA structure is mediated by ligand binding, and this results in modulation of gene expression. Lineage: Bacteria; Bacillati; Bacillota; Clostridia; Lachnospirales; Lachnospiraceae. The record is from RNAcentral.
UUAAGAUAGAGGCGCGGGGUUCAUCAGUACCAUAUGACGACAGGCUGGGAGGCUGUCAUAUGAGAAAGGGGAUACCGCCGAAGAGAUUGUCAUCCCAAAGGCAAUUUCUGGGACGGUGCAUAAGAUGCACCGGACUGUCACGGUUGUUGUGGAGCGCUAUCGG